This is a long non-coding RNA of Amphibalanus amphitrite, 363 nucleotides long. RefSeq lists it as uncharacterized. NCBI's taxonomy places the organism in Eukaryota, Metazoa, Arthropoda, Thecostraca, Balanomorpha, Balanidae. The transcript has 3 exons. The record is from RefSeq and is a predicted model, not a curated record.
AGAACUGCAAGAAGACUUAAACACAAAGAGGACAAGAAUCCCCAAGCGCCUUGAGUACGGGGACAGCACAGAAUUUACCGACUCGGAAGCAGAGACCGAAUUUGAGACCGAGGUCAUCCCGGGAUCACAGCCCCCCGUGAAGGGAAGGCGGGGAGUUCAGAAAAUGGGACAGCCUGAAAAUGAAGUGGAACGGGCGCGGCUGAACGCCAUCAUGAAUGGUGAACGUCCAGACAAGACAGGCGCGUCAGCCAGUGAUGAGCUGACAUAAGCGAAAGAAACCAUAAAAAAGGUGGAGGGGGAGCUUAACGCUGCUGUCCAAGAGGUCGUCCUGCUCAGAAAACUAAACUACAGACUUCAAGCAGA